CGAGGAACAUGACUUUCGGUGGGGGAUAGCCGGCCCAACGGCCGGGUAAUACCGCGUACGACCACAUGGGGACAUCCCUGAGUGGUGAAAGCAGCAAUGCGCCGAUGGAGUGCCUCGCGGCCUAUCAGCUAGUUGGUGAGGUAACGGCUCACCAAGGCAACGGACGGGGUAGCUGGUCUGAGUAGGUUGGCCACGCCACAGUUGGGACUGAGACACCGGCCCAGACCUCCGUAGGGACGG
RNAcentral lists this ribosomal RNA (240 nucleotides) under uncultured bacterium. RNAcentral's name for it is "partial 16S ribosomal RNA". It matches the Rfam family "Bacterial small subunit ribosomal RNA", at positions 118 to 348 of the family's 1533-position model. The record is from RNAcentral.